CUGAUGAUUUAUCGGAAGUGUAUGAAAACCACGCACAAUCCCAAAAGGAUAUUCUUUUUAAACUUCUCAACCCAGAAGGAUUGUCGGAAGACCAGGAAUUUUCAAUAAGAGGUCAUAUAUUCAAGCGACAGGGGCCUAUUUUGGAUUAUCUCUAUGGGAACCCCGAGAUUCAAGCUAUCAUAAGAAUAGUUUUCAACGAACUAUUGAAAGAGCAACCGAGUAACAUACCUAAGUAUAUUGCAGAUUUUUUUAAACGUCCCAAAUGUGAACUGAACAUUUUGAUUUCAGAAAAUAUAUCAAAGGCUAGUAGAAAAUCUUGCGGCCUUGGUGAAACAACUGCAAAGAUACCUGAAGGAAGAGGAACUGUACGUUUUAAGGAGCUAUCUAAAUCUGGUCCCUCUGAUCAUAAACCGUCUACUUUGAAGUCACCUAGUGAAGAUUGGGACACAUCUUCCAUUUCGACUUUUAGUGCAGAAUUGGGGUCUAGAAGAUCUGUAGUUUUACACGAAACGAAUUAUCGAUGAGUCGUUUACGUUUACAGUGUAAAUAUAAUUAUUAAUUUU
Long non-coding RNA from Hermetia illucens (black soldier fly), 563 nucleotides. RefSeq lists it as uncharacterized. NCBI's taxonomy places the organism in Eukaryota, Metazoa, Arthropoda, Insecta, Diptera, Stratiomyidae. The record is from RefSeq and is a predicted model, not a curated record. The transcript is spliced from 3 exons.